RNAcentral lists this ribosomal RNA (449 nucleotides) under uncultured bacterium. RNAcentral describes it as "partial 16S ribosomal RNA". It matches the Rfam family "Bacterial small subunit ribosomal RNA", at positions 330 to 795 of the family's 1533-position model. The record is from RNAcentral.
UCCAGACUCCUACGGGAGGCAGCAGUGGGGGAUAUUGCACAAUGGGGGGAACCCUGAUGCAGCGACGCCGCGUGGGUGAAGGAGCGUUUCGGCGCGUAAAGCCCUAUCGGCAGGGAAGAAGGAGGACGGUACCUGACUAAGAAGCCCCGGCUAACUACGUGCCAGCAGCCGCGGUAAUACGUAGGGGGCAAGCGUUAUCCGGAUUUACUGGGUGUAAAGGGGGCGCAGACGGCAGCGCAAGCCAGGAGUGAAAGCCCGGGGCCCAACCCCGGGACUGCUCUUGGAACUGCGCGGCUGGAGUGCAGGAGGGGCAGGCGGAAUUCCUGGUGUAGCGGUGAAAUGCGUAGAUAUCAGGAGGAACACCGGUGGCGAAGGCGGCCUGCUGGACUGCGACUGACGUUGAGGCCCGAAAGCGUGGGGAGCAAACAGGAUUAGAUACCCCGGUAAUG